Dromaius novaehollandiae (emu) is the source of this 566-nucleotide long non-coding RNA. RefSeq lists it as uncharacterized. The transcript is spliced from 3 exons. NCBI's taxonomy places the organism in Eukaryota, Metazoa, Chordata, Aves, Casuariiformes, Dromaiidae. The record is from RefSeq and is a predicted model, not a curated record.
CAAGGACCCAGCAUUAUGUAUGACACAUCUGGUGCUGGUUUUAACUCGCGUUCUCCCACUUCAGAAAAUCUGACGAUGGAAGAGCUAGGAAAGGAAUACAAUUCAGUCUUAGAGAAAUUGGUACCAGGAGUAAAAUCAUUGUGAUAUUAGCAAAUGGAAUAUUCUACAAGGAAGAGAGACAGAGCAAGCAAGGUUAUUCCUAGAGGAGUCAUCAUCUGGUGCAUUGUAUGAUGUAGGAAACAGGUGGCAAACAGGCAGAUGUUGUAGCUGCUCAUCCCACCUGUACUGUUGGAGUGCCUGUUACCAGCUGAGGACUUCUUCCAGCAAUUACAUUUGGUUGCAAAGAACGAAUGGGUGAGUGAUGUGGAUUUUUGCCUAUUUCAGGGUCUUUAUUAUACAUGUGUGCUUUUGCAGUACCAGCUUGUUUACCAGAUUUCUCCUGCUGUUUCCUCGGCGAAAAGCAGUCCUAGUGGCCUUGUCACAUUCUUGUUAUCUAUGAGCCUGUCAUAGAGUGUAAAAAAAACCCAAAAAAACAAAAAAACAAAAAAACCUAAAAUCCUGAAAGA